GGUAAAAUGGCUGAUAAAAGUGAUAAACUGUAAAUUUAUUUAUGAGAAAAUAUUCUCUUUUACCA
Molecule: transfer RNA, 65 nt
Filed under: Stenobiella sp. YW-2016
Lineage: Eukaryota; Metazoa; Arthropoda; Insecta; Neuroptera; Berothidae
Description: tRNA-Tyr
Source: RNAcentral